This 372-nucleotide ribosomal RNA is filed under the name uncultured organism. Its description in RNAcentral is "bacterial SSU rRNA". It matches the Rfam family "Bacterial small subunit ribosomal RNA", at positions 526 to 896 of the family's 1533-position model. The record is from RNAcentral.
CGUAGGUGGCAAGCGUUGUCCGGAAUUAUUGGGCGUAAAGCGCGCGCAGGCGGUCCUUUAAGUCUGAUGUGAAAGCCCACGGCUCAACCGUGGAGGGUCAUUGGAAACUGGGGGACUUGAGUACAGAAGAGAAGAGUGGAAUUCCACGUGUAGCGGUGAAAUGCGCAGAGAUGUGGAGGAACACCAGUGGCGAAGGCGACUCUUUGGUCUGUAACUGACGCUGAGGCGCGAAAGCGUGGGGAGCAAACAGGAUUAGAUACCCUGGUAGUCCACGCUGUAAACGAUGAGUGCUAAGUGUUAGAGGGUUUCCGCCCUUUAGUGCUGCAGCUAACGCAUUAAGCACUCCGCCUGGGGAGUACGGCCGCAAGGCUG